CAUCAUGCUACUGGACAAGGAAAAUCCUUUUGUGCAUUCCAUGUUCUUUACAAUAUACUACAGUCUUCAAUCUCAUGGCCUGCUAUGGAUGAGAACACGCAUUGAAUACAUGUAACUUACAAAUUCAUUUCAGAGAGAAUCUUCCCCAGUUUUUUUCUAAUGAUAAUUUUCUCUUGUAGAUAACUUACCUUUAGCAAUUUGACAGGAGAAAUUCCAAGCAGCUUUUCAAGACUCUCAGCGCUAGAUUAUAUGCUAAAAGAAAAGAAUGGCUGAUUGAGAAGCUGAGGAAGUUUGAGGUCCCCAAAGCUCCAAAAUAUAUUUUCCUAUCAUUUGUCUAAUGGGACAUGCACCAAUACACUCUGCCAACACUCUUAUGUAACCUGUCUUGCUGCAGCAGAAAAAAAAUGUAAUUUCUGUCUCAAAAUCUUCAAGCAAAUUUCAUUUAUUUUUUUAUAUUAGUUUCAUUUGAUAGCA
Molecule: long non-coding RNA, 474 nt
Organism: Magnolia sinica
Lineage: Eukaryota; Viridiplantae; Streptophyta; Magnoliopsida; Magnoliales; Magnoliaceae
Exons: 2
Source: RefSeq, a predicted model, not a curated record